AUCAUCCGCAAGGAUGGUUAGUGGCGAACGGUCGCGUAACACGUAAGCAACCUGCCUCAAAGUGGGGGACAACAGGCCGAAAGGCCUGCUAAUACCGCAUGUGGUCAAGUCUUCGCAUGGGGACUUGACUAAAGCCAGUUUACGCUGGCGCUUUGAGAUGGGCUUGCGGCCUAUCAGGUAGUUGGUGGGGUAACGGCCUACCAAGCCGACGACGGGUAGCUGGUCUGAGAGGACGAUCAGCCGGAUUGGGACUGAGAUACGGCCCAGACUCCUACGGGGGGCAGCAAUUAGGAAUCUUGCACAAUGGGCGAAAGCCUGAUGCAGCGACGCCGCGUGCGGGACGAAGGCCUUCGGGUCGUAAACCGCUUUUGACGAGGAAGAAGCAUGUGACGGUACUCGUCGAAUAAGCCCCGGCUAACUACGUGCCAGCAGCCGCGGUAAUACGUAGGGGGCGAGCGUUGUCCGAAGUUACUGGGCGUAAAGCGCGCGUAGGCGGCCCUCUAAGUCUGGGGUGAAAGGUUCAACGCUCAACGUGAACAGUGCCCUGGAUACUGGGGGGCUUGAGUUCGGGAGGGGGCUGUGGAAUUCCGGGUGUAGCGGUGAAAUGCGUAGAUAUCCGGAGGAACACCGAUGGCGAAGGCAGCAGCCUGGCCCANAACUGACGCUGAUGUGCGAAAGCGUGGGGAGCGAACGGGAUUAGAUACCCCGGUAGUCCACGCCGUAAACGAUGAGUGCUANGUGUUCGGGGUAUCGACCCCCCGGGUG
RNAcentral lists this ribosomal RNA (765 nucleotides) under uncultured Bacillota bacterium. RNAcentral describes it as "bacterial SSU rRNA". It matches the Rfam family "Bacterial small subunit ribosomal RNA", at positions 69 to 845 of the family's 1533-position model. The record is from RNAcentral. Lineage: Bacteria; Bacillati; Bacillota.